Long non-coding RNA from Larimichthys crocea (large yellow croaker), 237 nucleotides. RefSeq lists it as uncharacterized. The transcript is spliced from 2 exons. The record is from RefSeq and is a predicted model, not a curated record. NCBI's taxonomy places the organism in Eukaryota, Metazoa, Chordata, Actinopteri, Sciaenidae.
CAGGAGUGAAGCUGCUGUGUGAUUUUCUGGAGAGUCCACACUGCAGACUGAAGACUCUUGGAUUGAAGAACUGCAGGUUGUCAGCGAUCAGCUGUGCUUCUCUGGCCUCAGCUCUGAAGUCCAACCCCUCCCAUCUGACAGAGCUGGACCUGGGAGAAAACUACCUGAAGGAUUCAGCAGUGAAGCCUCUGUCUGAUCUUGUGGAGAGUCCACACUGCAGUCUGCAGACUCUGAGGU